ACUCCUACGGGAGGCAGCAGUGGGGAAUAUUGGACAAUGGGGGCAACCCUGAUCCAGCCAUGCCGCGUGAGUGAAGAAGGCCCUAGGGUCGUAAAGCUCUUUCAACUGUGAAGAUAAUGACGGUAGCAGUAGAAGAAACCCCGGCUAACUCCGUGCCAGCAGCCGCGGUAAUACGGAGGGGUUAGCGUUGUUCGGAAUUACUGGGCGUAAAGCGCACGUAGGCGGACUAUUAAGUUAGAGGUGAAAUCCCAGGGCUCAACCCUGGAACUGCCUUUAAUACUGGUAGUCUUGAUUCGAGAGAGGUGAGUGGAAUUCCGAGUGUAGAGGUGAAAUUCGUAGAUAUUCGGAGGAACACCAGUGGCGAAGGCGGCUCACUGGCUCGAUACUGACGCUGAGGUGCGAAAGUGUGGGGAGCAAACAGGAUUAGAUACCCUGGUAGCUACGAG
RNAcentral lists this ribosomal RNA (446 nucleotides) under uncultured bacterium. Its description in RNAcentral is "bacterial SSU rRNA". It matches the Rfam family "Bacterial small subunit ribosomal RNA", at positions 335 to 801 of the family's 1533-position model. The record is from RNAcentral.